AUCAUCAUCAUUAUCAAGAAGGCAAUGAGCGGGCAGAUUUGUUAGCAUGUUAGGCAAAAUGCUUAGUGGCAUUUCAUCUGUCUUCGUGUUCUGAGUUCAAAUUCCACCAAGGUCAACUUUGCCUUUCAUCCUUUCAGAUGGAAGAGCA
This is a long non-coding RNA of Octopus sinensis (East Asian common octopus), 148 nucleotides long. RefSeq lists it as uncharacterized. NCBI's taxonomy places the organism in Eukaryota, Metazoa, Mollusca, Cephalopoda, Octopoda, Octopodidae. The record is from RefSeq and is a predicted model, not a curated record. The transcript has 3 exons.